Long non-coding RNA from Taeniopygia guttata (zebra finch), 1917 nucleotides. The record is from Ensembl. NCBI's taxonomy places the organism in Eukaryota, Metazoa, Chordata, Aves, Passeriformes, Estrildidae.
ACUGAGAGAAGGCAGCCCAUGAGUGUUGGUCACACCAGAGUAAGAGUAUUUUCUAGAGGUUUUUUUCCUUCCACCAGGGACUCUGUUCUGCUGGUGGAGAUAAUGUUCUAGAUAUGGGCCACUGCUCUUGAAAUGGCAGAAAGGCAUGUGUGAAUGUCACAUCUGAACAUCUGAAACAGCAAUUCACCAACAUUCUUUAGUUUUCCAAGUAUGUAUGUAAAGAGGCAAUGUUUCCUGGUCUCUUUUUUUUUCGCUUGGUUUUGUUCUAGAAGGGUUAGGGAAGCUAAUUCAUUUUUCCACCCCUCUAAUCCUGCUCCUGAAGAGGGGAGAACAGGACCAUGACAUGAUGUGCCUUGGGGGUAGGGAUUCAGCAGUAUUUUGGUAGGCUGAAGAACCCCAUUUUUCUGUGCAGUACUGGGAGUGAUCAGGAACUCUGAUUCCUCUUGGGUAAGGGCAAGAAAGCACAGAAACUGAGCCACAGCUGAUUUAAUAAGUUUUGCAAUUUACUGCAAACAUUAGUAUCCAAGACAAAUUCAGAUACUUUUUGCUUAUGCUGAGAGCACCCUCAGAUCGCCAGUCAGUGUUCUGAACAGAAAUCCAUGGGAAGGAUGGAGCCACCUCAGCACUUCUCCACUCUCCCAUGGAGGGCUCUUCUCCAAGCACACCACAGCCUGCAGCUGGUGAUGUGGUUUGUAUUGUCUAAAAACAAAUGUGAACACCAGCAUCGCCUGCUUACAAAGACAUGCCAAUUGAAGACAAGCUUUGCUCUUCCUUAAAUGACUUCAGUCACAGACGGAAGCUGCUUUGGUGACAUCACCAGGAAACCAGCAGUGUCAGUACCAGCAUGGGUUGUCUUUGCUCCAGCUGCACACUGUGACUCAAGACCAUUAAACCAGGGAGGAAGAUGUUAAGCAUCACAGAGGGAUUUUUGUGAUUUUAUUCCCCAAGGCUUCAAAGGGUAACAGGAAAAUUGGAAUUUCAGAACCACUCAAUGCCAAGCUAAGCACAAAGUCACACCUUCAAAUUUUCAAGUCAAUUAACACAGUAGGAGGGAACUGUGCACUAAUGAAAGUGUCUCUCAUUUAAACACCUCAGUGAAAACUGGGCUCUGAAACUGAGCCUGAACUUUUACUUGGCUCCCAUUUACUGGCUCUCCACAAGUUACACUUCAUACUUACGCGAAUAUUUUUUUGACAUUUCAGUAAUGUCAUAUUUGUUAUGAACAAAACAGCCUUGCUGGGACACUUGUAAUAGAUGUUUUAAAAUACUGCAUCCAAGGGGAGAUGUGAGAUGGAAGGAUUUACAUGGGAAACAGUGAUCUUAGGAGUGCAACAGCUGGAAGCUGCAUGGUGGCUGGCAGAGCUGCUUGAGAUGAAUUCCAAACCUGCAGAAUCUUGGCAGGACAAGGGGAGACAUGCCCAUCCCAAGGCUCUGCAGCCCUCCACCUGAUUUCAAAGCCUAAUAAAUUCAGUGGGACUAUGCACAUUAAAUUUAACUGUAUGGGUAUCUUGCGUUUUUUCAUCCCUUGUAAUCAGAGUUAAUUCUUUCAAGACAAGAUUUUUUUGGUAUUGCAGAAGGGCACAGUGUUAUUUUGUAAUAUAAGUGAUUUUAAUUUCCAUGUUGAUUUUCAUGUGAAUUUCAGGUGCUUAAUUAUUGCCUAAAGGUUUUUAAAGUCAUUGAUGUACAAAUUCUUGAUUAACACAAAUAUAAUCCUGAAUAAUAUGUUAAAAAAUUUCCUUGGAGAGGUUGCCUUAUCUGACAAUCUGGUGGAAAAUUUUGCAAGGGAAGGUGUGAUGACUUGGCUCUAUCUCUCUGCCCCAGUCCAUGCAGAGAGUGGGUGCCAGUGGGGCCAGCUCUCCCCAGGGGCCUCCUGUCCCUUUGCUUUGACUACAGGGCCAUUGGAAUUGCAAUGAUACA